RNAcentral lists this ribosomal RNA (414 nucleotides) under uncultured microorganism. Its description in RNAcentral is "bacterial SSU rRNA". It matches the Rfam family "Archaeal small subunit ribosomal RNA", at positions 459 to 872 of the family's 1478-position model. The record is from RNAcentral.
CAGCCGCCGCGGUAAUACCGGCGGCCCGAGUGGCGGCCACUAUUAUUGGGCUUAAAGCGUCCGUAGCCGGGUUGGUUAGUCUCCCGGGAAAUCUGGCCGCUUAACGGUCAGAAUUCCGGGAGAUACUGCCAGCCUAGGGACCGGGAGAGGCCGAGGGGAUUCCCGGAGUAGGGGUGAAAUCCUAUAAUCCCGGGAGGACCACCUGUGGCGAAGGCGCUCGGCUGGAACGGGUCCGACGGUGAGGGACGAAGGCCAGGGGAGCAAACCGGAUUAGAUACCCGGGUAGUCCUGGCUGUAAAGGAUGCGGGCUAGGUGUCGGGUGAGCUUCGAGCUCGCCCGGUGCCGUAGGGAAGCCGUUAAGCCCGCCGCCUGGGGAGUACGGCCGCAAGGCUGAAACUUAAAGGAAUUGGCGGG